UUUGACAUCUGUAGCUGGUGGCGUCUCUACUUUGGUUGCAGGUACAUCUACAGUAACCAUGGAUUGAGCUGCAACUGUAGAAGGUGAGGUAGUUGGCCCUGAUGGUGAGGUUGUUGGCCCUGAAUGUGAGGUGCUCGGCCCUGAUGGUGGGGGCAUUGGAAAUGGAAAAGGCGAUCCUGGUGAAAAAGUAGUAGUAUUGAAUUGGUUAUUUUGUGAAUCCAUCUGGCCCAUCAAAGUCUUGAAAGCUUGUUGCAUUGC
This 258-nucleotide long non-coding RNA is filed under the name Vitis vinifera (wine grape). RNAcentral describes it as "long non-coding RNA (VVIN_LNC006279)". The record is from RNAcentral. Lineage: Eukaryota; Viridiplantae; Streptophyta; Magnoliopsida; Vitales; Vitaceae.